CGUGAAGGAUAACGUUGCGUCAGCAACGGCACGUAGGGCAAGGCGAAGCCGAGUCAUCCUGCACGACCCACCA
This 73-nucleotide small RNA is filed under the name Salmonella enterica subsp. enterica serovar Agbeni. RNAcentral describes it as "partial RtT sRNA". It matches the Rfam family "RtT RNA", at positions 54 to 130 of the family's 130-position model. Rfam says of the family: This family represents a bacterial cis-regulatory element known as RtT RNA. The exact function of RtT is unknown although it is thought that it may be involved in changing the cellular response in relation to amino acid starvation. Lineage: Bacteria; Pseudomonadati; Pseudomonadota; Gammaproteobacteria; Enterobacterales; Enterobacteriaceae. The record is from RNAcentral.